GGCCGUCCGAGUUGUAAUCUAGAGAAGUGCUGCCCGCGCUGGACCGUGUACAAGUCCUCCUGGAAUGGAGCGUCAUAGAGGGUGAGAAUCCCGUCUCUGACACGGACUACCAGGGCUUUGUGGUACGCUCUCAAAGAGUCGAGUUGUUUGGGAAUGCAGCUCAAAAUGGGUGGUAAAUUCCAUCUAAAGCUAAAUAUUGGCGAGAGACCGAUAGCGAACAAGUACCGUGAGGGAAAGAUGAAAAGAACUUUGGAAAGAGAGUUAAACAGUACGUGAAAUUGCUGAAAGGGAAACGCUUGAAGUCAGUCGCGUUGGCCGGGAAUCAGCCUCACUCUUUUGUGUGGUGUACUUUCUGGUUGACGGGUCAGCAUCAAUUUUGACCGCUGGAAAAAGGCUUGUUGAAUGUGGCAGCUCCGGCUGUGUUAUAGCUUCAGGUCACAUACAGCGGUUGGGAUUGAGGAACUCAGCACGCCGCAAGGCCGGGUUUCGACCACGUUCGUGCUUAGGAUGCUGGCAUAAUGGCUUUAAGCGACCCGUCUUGAAACACGGACCAAGGAGUCUAACAUGCCUGCGAGUGUUUGGGUGGAAAACCCGAGCGCGUAAUGAAAGUGAAAGUUGAGAUCCCUGUCGUGGGGUGCAUCGACGCCCGGA
RNAcentral lists this ribosomal RNA (651 nucleotides) under uncultured fungus. RNAcentral's name for it is "eukaryotic LSU rRNA". It matches the Rfam family "Eukaryotic large subunit ribosomal RNA", at positions 132 to 769 of the family's 3401-position model. The record is from RNAcentral. Lineage: Eukaryota; Fungi.